Panthera uncia (snow leopard) is the source of this 1137-nucleotide long non-coding RNA. RefSeq lists it as uncharacterized. NCBI's taxonomy places the organism in Eukaryota, Metazoa, Chordata, Mammalia, Carnivora, Felidae. The record is from RefSeq and is a predicted model, not a curated record. The transcript has 2 exons.
UCGAAUGUGUCCCUCUCAAAUUGCUAUGUUGUGGCCCUAACUCCCAAUGUGACUGUAUUUGGAAAAAGGGCCUAUAAGGAGAUAAUGAAGGUUAAGUGAGGUCAUAAGGGUGAGGCCCUCGUGUCACACGAUUGGUGUUCUUAUAAGAAGAGAGACAUCAGGGUUCUCCUUCUCUGCCACGUGAGGACACAGCGAGAAAGAAGCCAUCUGAAAGCCACUAGGAGGGCCCUUACCAUGAACCACAUGAGCCAGCACCUUGAUCUUGAACCUCCCAGCCUCCUGAACUAUGGAAACCCAAAUUUCUCUUAUUUAAGUCAACCAAAUCUCUGGUCUUUUGUUAUGGCAGUGCAAACUGACUAAUGCAAUUACUGUGAGAAAGGGUUUUUUUUUUUCUUUAAAUAAUCUUUUAAUUUCAGAAUAAUUUUACUUCUACAGGAAAGUUGCAAAGAGAGUUCACAGAGUUCCUGUAUACGCUUCAUCCCAUUUUCUUUGAUGUCGACAUCCCACAUGACCAAGGUAACCUUAAGGAAUUAACACUGGUACAUUACUAUUAAGUAAGCAACAAAUGUUAUUUGGAUAGCACCAGGUCAUUACUAUUUUCUCAUUUCUGCUUUAGGAUCUCAUUCAGGAUAUCACUGGACUGCACUUCAUGUGUUUUAUUUGUAUUUCGCUGAUGAGAAAAGGAAUCCAGUUGGGUCAAUUAGCUUACCCACAUUCACAUCUGCCUGUUCAUGGCUGUCGCAACCACACAGCAAAGGCACUCGAGAAAAAUGCCUAUAUCCAUAGAGGCACUAUUGACACCAUGCAAGCAACAGAACCAUCUGGGGGUAGAAAAGCCACAAGAAAAAUCACGGCUCAUUCUAUUACUUCUUGGGUGAUUAAUGGAAAUCUGGCAUGUCAUGCACAAAUAUUUUCUAUCUAGAUUUCACAUCAUGGAACUAGUAGGAAUGCAGCGCAAAGUGACAAAAGUACUCAACAUUGAGUCUUAAUUAGGCUUGAUCACAAAGCCUGACAGUCACUGCCUCAAGGACACUAUUCCUUUUGUGCCUGGCAAAUAACAGGUACGCCCAAGUGUUUAUUAGAUGAAUAUUUAAUUUUCCAGUCUAAACGGGUUGGAAAGUUUGAUCUUCGUAUUUU